UUUUAUCACCCUUUCUACUUAAAGCACCUUUAUUUCCGGUUGAAUCAACCAAAAGGGGAAAGCAACACGGCCAAGCGGUUUCCUGACAAAGGGUUCAACCCAAGGGAAAUUGGGAUAGGUUUUUGUCCCCAAUUGGGGAGGGGCCGAAGUUUUAUACUAAAAAUUACCUUGAGGAAACGGUGGGGGCGGCCCCCCGGGGGCCCCCAAAAAGAAAAGAUUUAACCCGAUGGAUUGGGAUAUGGGGGUGGAGAGCAAGUAACACCAGCCCCCCGGUUACAUAAAAAGCCCAGAAAAAAACUCAACGGUUUUCCUUUGUCAGGCCAAAAACGCGAAAAAGGAGAGAGUAAUAUUGGUCCCCUCGGGUUUGAGGGAGAAUUGCAAAGCAGUCCGGGCGCCCCCCCUUUAAAAUGCUCUUCAAAAAACAUCUGGACGGCGCCUCCUUUUUUAAAAAGAAGUUUUUUUUAAAAAAUUUAUAUAUAUUUUUUUCCCCCCCCCGGACAACGCCCGUCGCUACUACCGAUGGAAUGGCUCGGUGAGGCCUUCGGACUGGCGCAGGAGGGUUGGCAACGACCCCCCCGCGCCGGAAAGUUGGUCAAACCCGGUCAUUUAGAGGAAGUAAAAGUCGUAACAAGGUUUCCGUAGGUGAACCUGCGGAAGGAUCAUUACCGAGUGCGGGCUGCCUCCGGGCGCCCAACCUCCCACCCGUGACUACCUAACACUGUUGCUUCGGCGGGGAGCCCUCUCGGGGGCGAGCCGCCGGAACUAUGAACUUCAUGCCUGAGAGUGAUGCAGUCUGAGUCUGAAUAUAAAAUCAGUCAAAACUUUCAACAAUGGAUCUCUUGGUUCCGGCAUCGAUGAAGAACGCAGCGAACUGCGAUAAGUAAUGUGAAUUGCAGAAUUCAGUGAAUCAUCGAGUCUUUGAACGCACAUUGCGCCCCCUGGCAUUCCGGGGGGCAUGCCUGUCCGAGCGUCAUUGCUGCCCAUCAAGCCCGGCUUGUGUGUUGGGUCGUCGUCCCCCCCGGGGGACGGGCCCGAAAGGCAGCGGCGGCACCGUGUCCGGUCCUCGAGCGUAUGGGGCUUUGUCACCCGCUCGAUUAGGGCCGGCCGGGCGCCAGCCGACGUCUCCAACCAUUCUUCAGGGUGACCUCGGAUCGAGGUAGGAACGUGCC
This 1169-nucleotide ribosomal RNA is filed under the name Aspergillus versicolor. RNAcentral's name for it is "eukaryotic LSU rRNA". The stretch from base 820 to 973 matches the Rfam family "5.8S ribosomal RNA". Lineage: Eukaryota; Fungi; Ascomycota; Eurotiomycetes; Eurotiales; Aspergillaceae. The record is from RNAcentral.